Molecule: ribosomal RNA, 206 nt
Filed under: uncultured bacterium
Lineage: Bacteria
Description: partial 16S ribosomal RNA
Rfam family: Bacterial small subunit ribosomal RNA
Source: RNAcentral
CGCGUAGGCGGCCUUGCAUGUCUUCCGUGAAAUCCCUCGGCUUAACCGAGGACGUGCGGGAGAAACUGCGAGGCUCGAGUCCGGGAGAGGGGGUGGAAUUCCCAGUGUAGCGGUGAAAUGCGUAGAUAUUGGGAGGAACACCGGUGGCGAAGGCGGCCCCCUGGACCGGUACUGACGCUGAGGCGCGAAAGUCGGGGGAGCAAACA